This 68-nucleotide transfer RNA is filed under the name Ictidomys tridecemlineatus (thirteen-lined ground squirrel). Its description in RNAcentral is "Spermophilus tridecemlineatus (thirteen-lined ground squirrel) tRNA". It matches the Rfam family "tRNA". From Rfam's summary of the family: Transfer RNA (tRNA) molecules are approximately 80 nucleotides in length. Their secondary structure includes four short double-helical elements and three loops (D, anti-codon, and T loops). Lineage: Eukaryota; Metazoa; Chordata; Mammalia; Rodentia; Sciuridae. The record is from Rfam by way of RNAcentral.
GUGGUGACUCAGUGGUAGAGCGCUCACCUAGCACGUGAGAGGCCCUGGGUUCAAUCCUCAGCACCACA